This 467-nucleotide ribosomal RNA is filed under the name uncultured bacterium. RNAcentral describes it as "partial 16S ribosomal RNA". It matches the Rfam family "Bacterial small subunit ribosomal RNA", at positions 29 to 507 of the family's 1533-position model. The record is from RNAcentral.
ACGCACGCUGGCGGCGUGCUUAACACAUGCCAGUCGAACGGAAAGGCCCUGCUUUUGUGGGGUGCUCGAGUGGCGAACGGGUGAGUAACACGUGAGUAACCUGCCCUUGACUUUGGGAUAACUUCAGGAAACUGGGGCUAAUACCGGAUAGGAGCUCCUGCUGCAUGGUGGGGGUUGGAAAGUUUCGGCGGUUGGGGAUGGACUCGCGGCUUAUCAGCUUGUUGGUGGGGUAGUGGCUUACCAAGGCUUUGACGGGUAGCCGGCCUGAGAGGGUGACCGGCCACAUUGGGACUGAGAUACGACCCAGACUCCUACGGGAGGCAGCAGUGGGGAAUAUUGCACAAUGGGCGGAAGCCUGAUGCAGCAACGCCGCGUGCGGGAUGACGGCCUUCGGGUUGUAAACCGCUUUCGCCUGUGACGAAGCGUGAGUGACGGUAAUGGGUAAAGAAGCACCGGCUAACUACGUG